Long non-coding RNA from Perognathus longimembris pacificus (Pacific pocket mouse), 156 nucleotides. RefSeq lists it as uncharacterized. NCBI's taxonomy places the organism in Eukaryota, Metazoa, Chordata, Mammalia, Rodentia, Heteromyidae. The transcript is spliced from 3 exons. The record is from RefSeq and is a predicted model, not a curated record.
UAUGUAUGUUUAUCAGAACUAGGGAAGGGGAACACCAAAAUGGAGAGACAAAGGGUAAAAGGUGAACCAAUUCAACAGCAAUACUUACAAGACAGUAGCUGUAAAUCAAUUGUACAACUCAGGCAAGGAAGGAAUUGGGGAGGGAGGAAGGUGGGA